This is a microRNA precursor of Bison bison bison, 81 nucleotides long. Lineage: Eukaryota; Metazoa; Chordata; Mammalia; Artiodactyla; Bovidae. The record is from Ensembl.
AUUGGAUUGGCCAAAAAGUUUGAGUUUUCAGUACCAUCCUAUGGUGCUGAAAAACCCGAAUGAACUUUUGGCCAACCCACU